This 54-nucleotide ribosomal RNA is filed under the name Bribria crenata. Its description in RNAcentral is "Rinorea crenata partial 28S ribosomal RNA". The record is from RNAcentral. Lineage: Eukaryota; Viridiplantae; Streptophyta; Magnoliopsida; Malpighiales; Violaceae.
CGAGACCCCAGGUCAGUCGGGAUUACCCGCUGAAUUUAAGCAUAUCAAUAAGCG